Molecule: transfer RNA, 86 nt
Filed under: Pertusaria plittiana
Lineage: Eukaryota; Fungi; Ascomycota; Lecanoromycetes; Pertusariales; Pertusariaceae
Description: tRNA-Tyr
Rfam family: tRNA
About the family: Transfer RNA (tRNA) molecules are approximately 80 nucleotides in length.
Source: RNAcentral
AGAACGGUCCCGUUUGUUGGUAUGACGGGUUGAGCUGUAAACUCAAUAGCUAUUAGCUGUCGAAGGUUCGAUUCCUUCCCUUUCUA